Molecule: unclassified non-coding RNA, 352 nt
Filed under: soil metagenome
Description: partial contains 5.8S ribosomal RNA, internal transcribed spacer 2, and large subunit ribosomal RNA
Rfam family: 5.8S ribosomal RNA (bases 1-120)
Source: RNAcentral
GAUGAAGAACGCAGCGAAAUGCGAUAAGUAAUGUGAAUUGCAGAAUUCAGUGAAUCAUCGAAUCUUUGAACGCACAUUGCGCCCGCCAGUAUUCUGGCGGGCAUGCCUGUUCGAGCGUCAUUACAACCCUCAGGCCCCCGGGCCUGGCGUUGGGGAUCGGCGGAGCCCCCCGUGGGCACACGCCGUCCCCCAAAUGCAGUGGCGGUCCCGCCGCAGCUUCCAUCGCGUAGUAGCUAACACCUCGCGACUGGAGAGCGGCGCGGCCACGCCGUAAAACACCCAACUCUUCUGAAGUUGACCUCGAAUCAGGUAGGAAUACCCGCUGAACUUAAACAUAUCAAUAAGCGGAGGA